Molecule: long non-coding RNA, 1215 nt
Organism: Astatotilapia calliptera (eastern happy)
Lineage: Eukaryota; Metazoa; Chordata; Actinopteri; Cichliformes; Cichlidae
Source: Ensembl
AAAGAGUAAACGUAACGUAAUAGAGUACAGUGUAUCAGCGCACCCACGUGUGGGCUAUUGAACCAAGUGGAAAAUAUGAUGCUUUGUCCUAUCCCAUCCAUCCAUUUAAACACACAUUUUGCCCCAGGGAAUAUAAUUCAUGCAGCAUAAACCACAAUAAUAAAAACAGGAACACUGAUGCAAGAAAACACACCACAAACAAGUUUUAAAAUGAAAGAAAAAAGUGACCAACAUAGGCCUAAAAUAACUAGUUUAGAUAUGCAUCCAGUAAGUUUUAUAUGCAGUCAUGGUGGGUUCCACCUCCAUGAUUCAGAAGCUUGUAGAAGUACCUCUGGCAGUUUUCUGUUUGACUUUAUCGAUGUGUCACAUCAUUGUGGAAGAGUUUUAGCCCCGCUCGUCUUUACAGCGUUGCUUCAGCUCAUUGAGGUUUGCAGGAAUUCAUUCAUGCUCAGCUCUUUUCAGUCAGGUUGAGUUUUGUACUUUGACUGGAUCAUUGCAGCACAUUAAUUCUUUUGCUUUUUUUUUUUUUUUUUUGACCAAUUUUUAUCUGUUGGACAGAUGUCUCCACAUUUCAUUCUGCAUUGGUAUACAGAGGAGCUCACGGUUGACUCAGUGACUGCUAGGUGCCCAAAUCAGCACACUUCCACCACCAUGCUCACAGUUGGUAUAAUUGGUUUGGGCUGAUAAGUUAUGUUUGGGUGUCUCCAAACAUGGUGCUGUGCGUUAUGGACAAACAAAUGGAUGUUGUUCCAGAAGUCUUAUGGACUGUUCAUUUGCAACUUUGCCAACCUAAGCUGUGCUGCCAUGUUAUUUUUAGAGAGGAGGCUUUCUCCUGGCAACCCUUCCAAAGAAGCCAACGUGUUCUGUCUUUUUCUAAUUUUAUUGUCAUGAACUUUAACCUUUAACAUGCUAACUGGGGCCUGUAGAGUCUGAGAUGGAGCUCCUGGGUUUUUGCAGUUUUUCUGAGCAUUGCUCUGUCUGACCUUGAGGGGAAUUUGUUGGGAAAUUGCACAGUAAGCCUGUAGGCUACUUACUGUUUUACAUAGCUGAACAGAAAACUUGGUUUUUCACCUGACUGUGUGUAAGUAUGUAAGUAUGUAUAGAUUUUUCUCAUACAUCCAGGCGCAGGUUUGUUGUACUUUACUUGAUUAUUUCCAUUUUCAUACUGCAGAUGGAAAUUUAAUCUGUACUUCAGUGCACGCAGUUAAUUGACCC